GAUGAACGCUGGCGGCGUGCCUAAUACAUGCAAGUCGAGCGAACGGACGAGAAGCUUGCUUCUCUGAUGUUAGCGGCGGACGGGUGAGUAACACGUGGAUAACCUACCUAUAAGACUGGGAUAACUUCGGGAAACCGGAGCUAAUACCGGAUAAUAUUUUGAACCGCAUGGUUCAAAAGUGAAAGACGGUCUUGCUGUCACUUAUAGAUGUAUCCGCGCUGCAUUAGCUAGUUGGUAAGGUAACGGCUUACCAAGGCAACGAUGCGUAGCCGACCUGAGAGGGUGAUCGGCCACACUGGAACUGAGACACGGUCCAGACUCCUACGGGAGGCAGCAGUAGGGAAUCUUCCGCAAUGGGCGAAAGCCUGACGGAGCAACGCCGCGUGAGUGAUGAAGGUCUUCGGAUCGUAAAACUCUGUUAUUAGGGAAGAACAUAUGUGUAAGUAACUGUGCACAUCUUGACGGUACCUAAUCAGAAAGCCACGGCUAACUACGUG
Molecule: ribosomal RNA, 497 nt
Filed under: uncultured bacterium
Lineage: Bacteria
Description: partial 16S ribosomal RNA
Rfam family: Bacterial small subunit ribosomal RNA
Source: RNAcentral